AUUAAUGUAGUUUCUAUGAACCUAGAAGUAACAAAUACCCCCGACAAGAACUUGCACUUAUGCAUUGGAGGGAUUAUCUGCAAGAUUGCGAAGCUGGACGAUGUGGUGCUACUUUGGGAGAUGUACUAAUCUUUGCAACAGGAAGUGAUGACAUCCCACCUCUUGGCUUUACACCAAUGCCUUCACUAUGCUUUUGGGAAGAUGUUCGUCCAAGAUCAAACACGUGUGAUACCACACUUUAUCUCCCUCUAUUCCCUGGUGGUUCAAAGGAUGAAGUGCAAUAUGAUACUUUUAAAGAAAAAAUGGAUGAUGGAAUUUUAAAUUCUCCUUCUUUUGGGAUUCCAUAAAGUUUUUUAGCAGUUUUUUAUAACAAGUACAUAUUCAAUUAGUUCAAAGUUCUUAUAAUGUGUUUAUAACACUAAAUUUCAAGUUUAGUGGCGGAAUGCUACGUAUUAGCAUAAUGGUAUUCAACAAUUUACAACAAAUCAUGUUUCAUAAUAUAGUUUUAUUUGCUUUGCAAUUGGUUGCAAAAACCUUUUUGCAACAGUAUAUUUCUA
This is a long non-coding RNA of Xenia sp. Carnegie-2017, 557 nucleotides long. RefSeq lists it as uncharacterized. NCBI's taxonomy places the organism in Eukaryota, Metazoa, Cnidaria, Anthozoa, Malacalcyonacea, Xeniidae. The record is from RefSeq and is a predicted model, not a curated record. The transcript is spliced from 2 exons.